CAGUGGCUGUCGUCAGCGUCGUGUCGUGAGAUGGUUAGGGUUAACGUCCCGCACGAGCGCAACCCUUGUCAUUAGUUGCUACAUUCAGUUGGGCACUCUAAUGAGACUGCCGGUGACAAGCCGGAGGAAGGUGGGGAUGACGUCAAGUCCUCAUGGCCCUUAUAGGUGGGGCUACACACGUCAUACAAUGGCUGGUACAAAGGGUUGCCAACCCGCGAGGGGGAGCUAAUCCCAUAAAGCCAGUCGUAGUCCGGAUCGUAGUCUGCAACUCGACUACGUGAAGUCGGAAUCGCUAGUAAUCGUGGAUCAGAAUGUCACGGUGAAUACGUUCCCGGGUCUU
RNAcentral lists this ribosomal RNA (340 nucleotides) under uncultured Rhodoferax sp. Its description in RNAcentral is "bacterial SSU rRNA". It matches the Rfam family "Bacterial small subunit ribosomal RNA", at positions 1044 to 1382 of the family's 1533-position model. Lineage: Bacteria; Pseudomonadati; Pseudomonadota; Betaproteobacteria; Burkholderiales; Comamonadaceae. The record is from RNAcentral.